GGGGGCAAUGGCGCUGGGCGCCCUGUGGUCUUCAAAACCAUUGGCCCGGUCUGCAAAACCGGGGGGAGGUUCGAUUCCCCUUGCCCCCUCCA
This 92-nucleotide transfer RNA is filed under the name Desulfobacteraceae bacterium 4484_190.1. RNAcentral describes it as "tRNA-Sec". It matches the Rfam family "Selenocysteine transfer RNA". Lineage: Bacteria; Pseudomonadati; Thermodesulfobacteriota; Desulfobacteria; Desulfobacterales; Desulfobacteraceae. The record is from RNAcentral.